GGGAUAUAUUUUAUGUAAGUGUGGGUCAGUGAUGACAUGCUUACCCACACUGACGUGAAAAAUGGGUUUUCUUUUUUAGAUGCCAAUUGAAAUUGUUGGUAUUCCAAAUUUAUAACCCCUUUAAUCUAGCAUGGUCGGCGCAAGAACCUAUUUUUUUUAUCAUCGGCAGGAGAACAUUAAUUUGUCAAUGAGUUGCUCACAGCAAGCCACCUCAUGCCCUUUCUUUCAGUCUUACAAGACUUUCAAUAAUAAAAAGACUGGAACCCUGUGGCAUUUUUGAACCAUGACUUGGUUCUUUAGUCAAGCACAACUGCAUGAAUGAAAUCGAAACUGCUAAAAUCGAGGCAGUUUGGUUAUUACUCU
Molecule: unclassified non-coding RNA, 363 nt
Filed under: Hevea brasiliensis (rubber tree)
Lineage: Eukaryota; Viridiplantae; Streptophyta; Magnoliopsida; Malpighiales; Euphorbiaceae
Source: RNAcentral